AUUGAACACUGGCGGCAUGCCUUACACAUGCAAGUCGAACGGUAACAGGUCUUCGGAUGCUGACGAGUGGCGAACGGGUGAGUAAUACAUCGGAACGUGCCUAGUAGUGGGGGAUAACUACUCGAAAGAGUGGCUAAUACCGCAUGAGAUCUACGGAUGAAAGCAGGGGAUCGCAAGACCUUGUGCUACUAGAGCGGCCGAUGGCAGAUUAGGUAGUUGGUGGGAUAAAAGCUUACCAAGCCGACGAUCUGUAGCUGGUCUGAGAGGACGAUCAGCGACGCUGGGACUGAGACACGGCGCAGACUACUACGGGAGGCAGCAGUGGGGAAUUUUGGACAAUGGGCGCAAGCCUGAUCCAGCAAUGCCGCGUGCAGGAUGAAGGCCUUCGGGUUGUAAACUGCUUUUGCACGGAACGAAAAGCCCCGGGUUAAUACCCUGGGGUCAUGACGGUACCGUAAGAAUAAGCACCGGCUAACUACGUGCCAGCAGCCGCGGUAA
RNAcentral lists this ribosomal RNA (498 nucleotides) under uncultured bacterium. Its description in RNAcentral is "partial 16S ribosomal RNA". It matches the Rfam family "Bacterial small subunit ribosomal RNA", at positions 30 to 523 of the family's 1533-position model. The record is from RNAcentral.